AGUGAACGCUGGCGGUAGGCCUAACACAUGCAAGUCGAACGGCAGCACAGUAAGAGCUUGCUCUUACGGGUGGCGAGUGGCGGACGGGUGAGGAAUACAUCGGAAUCUACUUUUUCGUGGGGGAUAACGUAGGGAAACUUACGCUAAUACCGCAUACGACCUACGGGUGAAAGCAGGGGAUCUUCGGACCUUGCGCGAUUGAAUGAGCCGAUGUCGGAUUAGCUAGUUGGCGGGGUAAAGGCCCACCAAGGCGACGAUCCGUAGCUGGUCUGAGAGGAUGAUCCGCCACACUUGAACUUAAGCACGGUCCAAGCUCCUACGGGAGGCACCAGGUGGGAAAAUUGGGCCAAUGGGGGCAAGCCGGACCCGCCAAUACGGGGUGGGGAAGAAAGCCCUUCGGGUGGUAAAGCCUUUUUUUGGGGAAAAAAAGCAGCAGGUUAAUACCCCGCUGUUCUGACGGUACCCAAAGAAUAAGCACCGGCUAACUUCGUG
Molecule: ribosomal RNA, 492 nt
Filed under: uncultured bacterium
Lineage: Bacteria
Description: partial 16S ribosomal RNA
Rfam family: Bacterial small subunit ribosomal RNA
Source: RNAcentral